RNAcentral lists this long non-coding RNA (38131 nucleotides) under Triticum aestivum (bread wheat). RNAcentral describes it as "long non-coding RNA (TAES_LNC009313)". Lineage: Eukaryota; Viridiplantae; Streptophyta; Magnoliopsida; Poales; Poaceae. The record is from RNAcentral.
GAUGUUUUUGUUGAGGUAGCACUGGGAGGGGGCCGUGUUCUUCUCCCAGGAAUGUUUAUGUUUCUUACACUUAUUUUACGCUCGAGGCAAUUACUGUUGUUUUCGUAUGUGAGUGCACACAGAUCAUUUUUUUUUCUGCAGCUACUCGAACACAAAACCUUUUUUUUUCAUUUUCAUCUUUUGAGGCUGAAGAUGAAUGCAAGCUAAUGACCAUAAGCCUGAAACUCUAAUUCCUGUUGAGACAAGCUACAGGCUUUUAUGAAUUGGUCAGGUCUGAAAUUUUUAGUUGGGUAGACAUAGCUAUCUUCAGUUUUUUUUUCAUCUUUCUUUCUUCGGUAGGUCUAAGCCGUUGUCUUUUUCGAUCUUUCUUAAGUCUAUAUUAACUCAGUCUUUAAGUUUGCACCAUUCUUCAGUCUAUCAAUCCUCAGAGUUUAGUUAUCUAUCAGUCUUUAGACCUUCAGUUUUAUUUUCCUCUAUGUUCUCACUCUGUGUUUUUCUUUGUUCCUCGGUCUACCAAUUUUAUUAAAUUCUCUUCAUUUAUUUAGUUCAUCAUCAGUCAAUCAAAAGUAAUGUUUGUCCGUUUUACCUUGUGUUGACUUUCUUACCAACUUAGUAUGGUUGUGUGUGCAACUUUAUAGUACUACAUGGUGGAGAAUGAGAACAGAGGGGCGUGCAACACCACCACCUCGCUGGCUCAAAGGCAAAAAAAAAUUAUGCAACUUCUGCUUAUUUCUCAGCCAACACUAGCAGUGGUUGUUUGAAACUCCUACUACUAUUCCAUACAAAUACAACAAAAAGAGUGGGCCAUCAUACCACUCUCUGUGCAACUCUAACUACUGCAGUUGCCAACAAAUGUGACUACGAAUGAAUCAGCUUGUGCAUACCUUCUCUUGCCAACUUUGUAUAACCAUGGGUGGUGCAUCUUUCCGGUACAACUUCAACAUGUGCUAAAUUAUACGACCAACUUAUUAUGACUAUGUGCACAAUAAACAUGCUUGUAUGUCGCUGAGGAGAGUGUUGUCGCCUCGACCACCCACUUCAAUUUCGCCAAGAGAGUACCACCUCGACUGUCAGUUUGGAUUUUGCCGGGAAAGAGAGCGGCUGCUUCCAACUUCGUUUGGAUUUCGCUGAAGCGAGCAUCACCUCCAUUGCCCGUGGAUGGAGGGAGAGAAAAGAGGACGACCUCCGCGACAUAAAUAUAUUGGUGGAAACAUAUAGUGAGAUUUGCUAACGAACAUGUUGAUGCUGCAAGGACCAUAUUUCAUUAUCCCUUCUCGGACUGAAUCGUGGCUGGUGCAUCCACCUCCCGCAUCGAAUGCUCAUAGGACCACAUGUGCCAUCAUAAACCUCUUUUUCUUUUAGUUAUGUUUAAUCAAGGUAGUAAAAAAAUAGAGGGGAGGAAAACACGGCGGGGUACAAUGUUCAUAUGAUUGUGAGCAAAUAUGAUUGCUUGGCUGGAUUGACGCCGCCGCCACCAUCUUUCACGAUGCCUCCACCAAAUCUGCCAAGCGCUGACAUCUAUCGAGUUGUGAAACCCUCGCCCUGAAAUAUACUGUUAUAUCGUAGUUGUCACUUUUAAAGGUUACAUUGACCUUAUCCAUGCUACCUAAUCGUCUGUUUGUUUCAUGUACAUGCAUUGCCACCGGUAGCAACGCACGGGUAUUUUCCUAGUUGAUGCAAAGAUACGUAAUAAUUUUUUAUUUAAUUGGGAAAUGUGAAGAUAUUUUUUAAAGAAAUUGCAAAGAUAAUAAAUGAAAGAAGUUAGGAAACUGGGCCGUAGAGGAGAUCGAGGGAGGCCGAAUUAGCCCAAACUGGCUAACUCAAACUAAUUUCACCUAAAAAAAGGCUAACUCAAACUAACCCUUUAUUAGCAAUAAAAAGGGCCCCUAGAAAAGAGCAAUAAAAAAGGAAACCCUAAAAAGAAGGACGCCGAUAACUGCCACACGUGUGGCACAAUGAACAUCCGCCCACACGACCCUGUGUGGCAUACCCAACAGGCAGCUCACACGAUUGUGUGUGGGCGAAUAUUAAACUGCCCACACGUGUGGCAGGAGAAGCAUCCUACCACACGACUCGUUCGGUACGAGGGGAUCGAUCCCCCGCAGAAAUUUGUUCGGCAGGGGGAACCCAUAGCCCGCACGCCUCCAUCACACCAGGCCCUUUCCCUUAUGACAAAAAGGAACAAAAAUCCCACUGACAACGAAUUAAAUGAAAAGGCCCAGAUUUUUUUGUGACAAAUAAAAGCUCAGGUUUUGCCCAGCUACUAAAGAAAUGCCAUCAACUUUGAAAAUAGCAGAAAAAUUGUCAUUCGAGUUUGACCAAAAUAUUUGCCAUUAUAUUGUUUUUAACAAAUCAUAAAGGUUUAUAAACACAUAUUUAAUACCCCCAAUGAAAUAUGGCAAAUCUGCCAUGACAAAAAAAAUCAAUAUUGCCAUGUGAAAAAAACACAAAUAGUUGAAAAAUUCGUGUGAACAGAAACAAAAAAUUGACAGGACAAUAAAAGGUAAAAAUUAAAAUGGCAUUUUAAAUUAAAAUUGCCAUAAAUUUUUAAUUAGAAUUACCUUUUUUGAAGGAGGAUUUUGUGGUGUGUGAGAAAAAACACCAAAAUAUGAAAAUCAAGUACGAACAAAGAGAUUUGCCAUGGCAAAUUCGUACCAAGAAUUGCCGCAUGUUUGAAUGAUACAUUUGCCGUCUGUGAAAAAACACAAAAAGUUAGAAAUCAAGUAUGAACAAAGACAAAUACCAUGGCAGAUUCAUAUCAAAACUUGCCAUGGCGAAAUUCACGUAAACUAAAACUUGCCAUGAUUUUAAAACUAAAUUUGCCAUGAACCAAAUAAACUAAAUUUGACAUGAUCAAAUAAAAUCAGUUUGCCAUGGUCAAUAAACUAAAUUUUCCCUGGUCAAUAAACUAAAUUUGCCAUUAUCAACAAACUAAAUUUGCCGUAUUUAAGUAAGAAACAAAAGCAUAAAGAUUGUGGUGGGCGUAUUAAAAAAACCUAAAUUUGCCAUGGCAAAUAAACAUGACAUUUUUGCCUUGGCAAACUUUGAAAAAUAGGUCAUAGGAACAUUUUCUAAAGUUGUUAUAUGAUCAAAUCCAGAAAAAUUGGCAUGCUAUGUACGCAUAUUAAGUUGACAUGGCAAGUUUGCCAUGUUUUUGAAUGCCUAUAACUUUGACAUGUUUUUGAACAUCUAUAGCUUUGACAUGUUUUGAACCAAUAAACUAAAAUUUGCCUUGGCAUGGCAGAUUUGUAUCAAGAAUUGUCGUGUUUUGGUAUGAUGAAUUUGCCGUGUGUGUAAAAAACACAAAAAAGUUGAAAAUCUAAAAAUAUGAACAAGAAAUUUGUAAACUAAAUUUGCCACAACAGGUUCGUACCAAAACUUGCCAUGGCACAUUCGUAUCAAGAAUUGCCUUGUGUUUGAAUGAUGAAUUUGCCGUGUGUGUGAAAGAAACACAAAAAGUUGACAAUCAAGUAUGAACAAGAAAAAAUGCCAUGGCAGAUUCGUAUCAAGACUUACCAUGGCAAAAAUCACGUAAACUAAAUUUGCCAUGAUUUGAAAACUAAAUUUGCCAUGACUAGUAAACUAAAUUUACCAUUGACCAAAUAAACUAAAUUUGACAUGAUCAAAUAAAAUCAGAUUACCGUGAUCAAUAAACUAAAUUUGCCAUGACAAUAAACUAAAUUCACCAUUAUCAACAAACUAAAUUUGCCGUGGUUAAGUAAGAAACAUAAGCAUAAAAGAUCAUCGUGGGCCUUGGCCAAUAAACAUGACAUUUUUGCCAUGGCAAACGUUGAAAAAUAGGUCAUAGGAACAAUUUCUAAACUUGCUAUGUGAUCAAGUGUAGAAAUGGGCAUGCUAUGUAUACAUAGUGCAACAACUUUUAAAAAAUAAGCAUGGCAAGAACAUGAAAAAAGAAUUGCCAUGAAUAGUUUACAGCUAACAGGAAAACCUACUUGCAAUUGCCAUAACAGAAACAUAGCUAAAAGAAGUUUGUACUAAUUGAACACAAACUUAAGUAGUCAAUUCAAAUUUGCCAUGGGUAGUACUACUCGCACGACAAUUAGAAAAUAGAAUACAAAAGAAUGUGCCAUCGUCAAUUUGCCAUCUAAACAUUUAUAAAUUUGGCAUGGUCAGUAGAAAAUAAUUUGCCAUGGUCAGUAGAGUAGAAGCGACCGUCAAUGCAAUAAAUUUGCCAUGGCAAAUACAAUAAAGUUCACCAUGGUCAAUGUAAUAAAAAUGCCAUGUUUCGUAAGGUAAUUCGCCAUGCUAAAGGCAAUAAAAUUGCCAUGUCAAUGCAUAUUCCACAAUGUGUAGCAUUUCAGUUUUCACUGAAAAAAAGAGGCACUGAAAAACUACAAAUGAAUUUGGCAUGGUCAUUUUGCCGUCUGACCAUUUGUGAAUUUCUCAUGGCCAGUGAAAAAUAAUUUGCCAUGGUCAGUACGAAUAAAAGUGCCAAAAAAACAGUAGAGCUAGACAUCAUCUGAGCUUAACGAUUGUAGCCAUGGGAAUUGACGAACAACAUCUAAGCUUAAUCAUGGUUGCCACUCAUACAAAUCUUUUGUUGUGGGAGUAAUUUCAAAAGGAUAGUUAUGAUGAAACAUGGCAAAAAUGACAUAAAAAGUAACCAUGGCUCAGUCGAUGUAAGUUGCCACACAACAUAUGAUAGAAUUUGCCAUGUUUGUGAGUCAGAGGACCUAGACAUCUAGAAAGUGUGAUUUAUCAGAAAAUGCCAUGCUACUGCUCUACCACACACCCAAGGGUUGACUAACACAAAACAGUACGCUACCAUACUCUCCCUAGAGCCAGACCCGCAACCUCUGUCAGUCACCGGAAACAAUUGACGGAUGAAAUAUGGAACUCACUCACCUAGCAGCCCACCACUUAUACGCCGCCGUGGAGCUGCACUAGAUCUGUUUCGUCGCGCUGGUCGGAGCAGGAAAGGCAUCGAGCGCGGGAGGCAGGAGCACCGACCUGCCACCACGACGCUCGCGCCAGGCGUGUUGCAGGUCUCCAUCGACAGGCUGCUGUGCCUAACGCUGGCGAGCCAGGAUCCCUGCUCCUCACGUCGACGACGCGAGCGACCGACAACAGGAGUGCUGACUGUUGAGUAGGAAUCCAAUGAUGGACGGGUGAGGGUGGCGUUGCUUCAAGGCGGGCGAGCAGAGGUCGAUGAGUACCUAGAGACACAGGCGAGGCGCGCGAGCUGCAGUUCCAUGGCCAUCGGAUCCGGCGAGUGAUGCAGAUUGGCGGAGCUUCAGAUGAGAGGUCGCCAUGGGAAGCAGGCUGGGGCACCACGCAUAUCCCCAUCAUCAACGGCGGCCAGCUGGUCCCCGGCCUCCCCCACCAACCUCGGUGACAUGGAGGUGGACGGGGAGGUGCCGACUCCCGCCCUGACGCGGCGCGCGCCCGACCAGCGCUCCAGCUCAACGGUUGGAGACCUCGUGGCGCAGCCUCUACUCCCUGAUGCUGUCGUCUCUGGACCCUAACAUCCGAACCGAGGCUCUUUCGUCUUGCUUUGUUUUUGGAUCGGCAAGUACCCCUUGGAAUCCUUCAAGAUCGUCAAGUGAACGACUACCACACCGGAACGCCAACUACAUGGAUAUGCCAGGUUCCUCUCCGAACGUGUACGAAUAUGCCCGGUGAUGCGACAAGUACCUCUACCGACGACCCCGAACAUCUACGAAAACGUGUACCACUACCGUCGCCGAAGACCCGUGUAACGGAACCGUCAAGUUCGACUACCUUCGUGUGUACCACUACUUCCCUCGACGAUUUUGGACCGCCCCGAAAUGCACGCUUCGAAGGUAUAACCCCGAGACGACGCCCGUGAAUGAAUGCAUGUGUGAUGUAUGAGAUGUCGUAUUUGCACCGUGUCCGAGUUGUCCCUGCACGUUCCUCCUUGUUUGCCAUGCCGUCGACCCGUGGGAACCCGGUAACCGGGAUCACCCCACCAUCCUUGCAUGACUCGCUCCACACACUUGUUCUUUUGCACCGGUAUCUCAAUGAGUUGUCAGAUCAUCGGAAUGUUGCCGUGGCACCAUUUCCGUUGUCGUUGCCAUGGCACCCCUUUCGUUCUGCCACGGUGACAAAUCCUUCAUAUCAUGCUCAUGCCAACAUUUUCAUAAAAUUUCAUAAAACUUGCAUAUGUCAUCCGCAUCAUGAUAACAACAUUUCAAAUGCUUAAAAUUGUUGCUUGCAUUAAAAUUGCUAAAUGACAUAUGGGGAUUUUCUGGAAUUGUUGUUUGUUAUUUCCGGCCUCAUUUAAACUUGCCUAAAUAGUUAGUUUAUGAUGCUUCACCUCUUGCCAUGUUUAACAACAAUUAAUAUUGUUGGGUACAUAAACGGGAGAGAACUAAAUAAUUGAAUAUGGUGUUUUGUCAAUAUGCAACUUGUUGCAUAUUGAGCUCCACUUAAUUAGUAUUGUUUGUUGAACUUUGCCAUGCCAUGCCUCUUUAAACCGGACAUGCAUCAUGCUUGAUUGUGCAUCAUGCCAUGUUUAUGUGAUGGUUGUUUACCAUGUUGUUUGCUUCUUUCCAGUUGUGCUUCUUCUUGAUAGUUCCGGUCACGUUGCGAUUGUGAGGACCCGUUCGACUACGUUAGUUCGUCUACUUCAUGGAUUUGGUCUUCUUCCUAGCGGGAUUUCAGGCAAGAUGACCGUCACCUUGGAUCUCACUACUAUCUUUGCUAUGCUAGUUGUCUCGAUGCUAUCGCUAUGUCGCGCUACCUACCACUUGUUUAUCGAGCCUCCCAAAUUGCCAUGAUAGCCUCUAACCUUUUCACCCUUCCUAGCAAACCGUUGUUUGGCUAUGUUACCACUUGUUUAUUGUUCCAUGCUAUAUUAUAUUCUGUUUUGGACAUUGUUGGGCUUUAUUAUACACUUUUAUAUUAUUUUUGGGACUAACCUAUUAAUCGGAGGCCCAGCCCAGAAUUGUUGUUUUUUGCCUAUUUCAGAGUUUCGCAAAAAAGAAUAUCAAACGGAGUCCAAACGGAAUCCAGAGUCUUAGAGUCUACGCAAAGCAAUGAACGAGGAAGGCACGAGGUAGGGGGGCGCGCCUACCCCCCCCCCCCCAGGCGCGCCCUCCACCCUCGUGGGCCCCUUGUUGCUCCACCGACGUACUUCUUCCUCCUAUAUAUACCUACGUACCCCCAAACUACCAGAUACAAAGCCAAAAACCUAAUUCCGCCGCCGCAGCCUUAUGUACCCGUGAGAUCCCUUCUUGGGGCCUUUUCCGGAGCUCCGCCGGAGGGGGCAUCGAUCACGGAGGGCUUCUACAUCAACACCAUAGCCUCUCCGAUGAUGUGUGAGUAGUUUACCUCAGACCUUCGGGUCCAUAGUUAUUAGCUAGAUGGCUUCUUCUUUCUUUUUGGAUCUCAAUACAAUGUCCCCCCUCUCUUGUGGAGAUCUAUUCGAUGUAAUCUUCUUUUUGCGGUGUGUUUGUUGAGACCGAUGAAUUGUGGGUUUAUGAUCAAGUUUAUCUAUGAACAAUAUUUGAAUCUUCUCUGAAUUCUUUUAUGUAUGAUUGGUUAUCUUUGCAAGUCUCUUCGAAUUAUCAGUUUGGUUUGGCCUACUAGAUUGAUCUUUCUUGCAAUGGGAGAAGUGCUUAGCUUUGGGUUCAAUCUUGCGGUGUCCUUUCCCAGUGACAGUAGGGGCAGCAAGGCACGUAUUGUAUUGUUGCCAUCGAGGAUAACAAGAUGGGGUUUAUAUCAUAUUGCAUGAAUUUAUCCCUCUACAUCAUGUCAUCUUACUUAAAGCGUUACUCUGUUCUUAUGAACUUAAUACUCUAGAUGCAUGCUGGAUAGCGGUCGAUGUGUGGAGUAAUAGUAGUAGAUGCAGGCAGGAGUCGGUCUACUUGUCUCGGACGUGAUGCCUAUAUACAUGAUCAUACCUAGAUAUUCUCAUAACCAUGCUCAAUUCUGUCAAUUGCUCAACAGUAAUUUGUUCACCCACCGUAAUACGUAUGCUCUCGAGAGAAGCCUCUAGUGAAACCUAUGGCCCCCGGGUCUAUUUUCCAUCAUAUUUAAUCUCCCGACAACAAGUUAUUUCUAGUGUCGUCUUUAUUUUACUUUCUUUACUUUGCAUCUUUAUCAUAAAAAUACCAAAAAUAUUAUCAUAUCAUAUCUAUCAGAUCUCACUCUCGUAAGUGACCGUGAAGGGAUUGACAACCCCUUUAUUGCGUUGGUUGCGAGGAUUUAUUUGUUUGUGUAGGUGCAAGGGACUCGUGCGUGGCCUCCUACUGGAUUGAUACCUUGGUUCUCAAAAACUGAGGGAAAUACUUACGCUACUUUGCUGCAUCACCCUUUCCUCUUCAUGGGAAAACCAACGCAGUGCUCAAGAGGUAGCAAGAAGGAUUUCUGGCGCCGUUGCCGGGGAGGCUUACGCAAAGUCAAGUCAAGAUUUGACUUCCAGCAACUAGCCAUUUCUGGCGCCGUUGCUGGGGAGUCUAUGCAAAAGUCAACAUACCAAGUACCCAUCACAAACCCUUAUCUCCCGCAUUACAUUAUUUGCCAUUUGCCUCUCGUUUUCCUCUCCCCCACUUCACCCUUGCCGUUUUAUUCGCCCUCUUUUUUUCGUUCGCUUUUUUUCUCGCUCGCUUCUUGUUUGCUCGUGUGUUGGAUUGCUUGCUUGUCUCAAUGGCCCUACCUAGAUUUGGCGAUCUUCACCUUAAAAGGUUAGAAGAGAUGAAAGCAACGUCAGGAGUUUUAUGGUCUUACAAUUUGAACAUAAUAAUUUCUCUAGAAACGAGCUUAAGGAACAAAAAAGAUUUAUGAGUUAUAUGAAUAAAGAGCUCAAAGAUAUGUCCAAAGAAUUUGAUGGUUUGAAAUCUCAGAUUGCUCAUCUUGAAAAGUUAAUAGCUGAAGUUUCGGACAAGCAGGCCACCUUAGUUAAUAAGAUGGCCGCUAAGCCGGAUUUUUUUUGGAAAAUAAAGAUGAAGAUCUAAAAGUUAUUGAUGUGUCCCCAAUUAAAUCUUUGUUUUGCAAUAUGAAUCUUGAUAAUGAUGGGACUGAAUAUGAUCCACCUUUACCUAGAAGGCGUUCCAAAAAUUCAGAGUUUUUAGAUCUUGGUGCUAAAAUUGAUAAAAGUGAGAUUGAAGAAGUUAAAACUCUAGAUCUCAAUGAACCCACUAUUUUGGAUUUCAAGGAGUUUAAUUAUGAUAAUUGCUCUUUGAUAGAUUGUAUUUCCUUGUUGCAAUCUGUGCUAAAUUCUCCACAUGCUUAUAGUCAACAUAAAGCUUUUACUAAACAUAUCGUUGAUGCUUUGAUGCAAUCUUAUGAAGAAAAACUUGAGUUGGAAGUUUCUAUCCCUAGAAAACUUUAUGAUGAGUGGGAACCUACUAUUAAAAUUAAAAUUAAAGAUCAUGAAUGCUAUGCUUUGUGUGAUUUGGGUGCUAGUGUUUCCACGAUUCCAAAAACUUUGUGCGAUUUGCUAGGUUUCCGUGAUUUCGAUGAUUGCUCUUUAAACUUGCACCUUGCGGAUUCCACCAUUAAGAAACCUAUGGGAAGAAUUAAUGAUGUUCUUAUUGUUGCAAAUAGGAAAUAUGUGCACGUAGAUUUUAUUGUUCUUGAUAUAGAUUGCAAUCCUUCAUGUCCUAUUAUUCUUGGUAGACCUUCCCUUAGAACGAUCGGUGCAAUUAUUGAUAUGAAGGAAGACAAUAUUAGAUUCCAAUUUCCGUUAAGGAAAGGCAUGAAACACUUCCCUAGAAAGAAAACAAAAUUACCAUAUGAAUCUAUCAUGAGAGCCACCUAUGGAUUGCCUACCAAAGAUGGCAAUACCUAGAUCUAUCCUCGCUAUUAUGCCUAGCUAGGGGCGUUAAACGAUAGCGCUUGUUGGGAGGCAACCCAAUUUUAUUUUUAGUUCUUUUUGCUUUUUGCUUCUGUUUAGGAAUAAUUUUUUUGUUCUAGCCUCUGGUUAGAUGUGUUUUUAUGUUUUAAUUAGUGUUUGUGCCAAGUUUAACCUAUAGGAUCUUCUUGGAUGAUAGUUAUUUGAUCUUGCUGAAAAUUCCAGAAACUUUCUGUUCACGAAAAUAAUUGUUAAAAAUCACCAGAACGUGAUAAAAUAUUGAUUCCAAUUGCUGCUGAUCAAUAAGAAAAUUGUCUAGGUCUUCCUAUUUUGGCUGAAUCUUUGGAGUUCCAGAAGUUUGCGUUAGUUACAGAUUACUACAGACUGUUCUGUUUUUCGUGUGUUGUUUGCUUAUUUUGAUGAAUCUAUGGCUAGUAAAAUAGUUUAUAAACCGUAGAGAAGUUGGAAUACAUUAGGUUUAACACCAAUAUAAAUAAAUAAUGAGUUCAUUACAGUACCUUAAAGUGGUGUUUUGUUUUCUUUCGCUAACGGAGCUCACGAGAUUUUCUAUUAAGUUUUGUGUGUUGUGAAGUUUUCAAGUUUUGGGUAAAAGAUUUGAUGGAUUAUAGAACAAGGAGUGGCAAGAGCCUAAGCUUGGGGAUGCCCAUGGCACCCCAAGAUAAUCUAAGGACACCAAAAAGCCAAAGCUUGGGGAUGCCCCAGAAGGCAUCCCCUCUUUCGUCUACUUCCAUCGGUAACUUUACUUGGAGCUAUAUUUUUAUUCACCACAUGAUAUAUGUUUUGCUUGGAGCGUCUUGUAUUAUUUGAGUCUUUGCUUUUUAGUUUACCACAAUCAUCUUUGCUGGACACACCUUUUGAGAGAGACACACAUGAUUCGGAAAUUAUUAGAAUACUCUAUGUGCGUCACUUAUAUCUUUUGAGCUAUAUAGUUUUUGCUCUAGUGCUUCACUUAUAUCUUUUAGAGCACGGUGGUGGUUUUGUUUUAUAGAAACUAUUAUUCUCUCAUACUUCACUUAUAUUAUUUUGAGAGUCUUAAACAGCAUGGUAAUUUGCUUAGAUAAUCCUAAUAUGCUAGGUAUUCAAGACUAGUAAAAAACUUUCUUAUGAGUGUGCUGAAUACUAAGAGAAGUUUGAUGCUUGAUGAUUGUUUUGAGAUAUGGAGGUAGUGAUAUUAAAGUUGUGCUAGUUGAGUAGUUGUGAAUUUGAGAAAUACUUGUGUUGAAGUUUGCAAGUCCCGUAGCAUGCACGUAUGGUAAACGUUAUGUAACAAAUUUGAAACAUGAGGUGUUCUUUGAUUGUCCUCCUUAUGAGGGGCGGUCGGGGACGAGCGAUGGUCUUUUCCUACCAAUCUAUCCCCCUAGGAGCAUGCGCGUAGUGCUUGGUUUUUGAUGACUUGUAGAUUUUUGCAAUAAGUAUGUGAGUUCUUUAUGACUAAUGUUGAGUCCAUGGAUUAUACGCACUCUUACCCUUCCAUCAUUACUAGCCUCUUCGGUACUGUGCAUUGCCCUUUCUCACAUUGAGAGUUGGUGCGAACUUCUCCAGUGCAUCCAAACCCCGUGAUAUGAAACGCUCUUUCACACAUAAACCUUCUUAUAUCUUCCUCAAAACAGCCACCAUACCUACCUAUUAUGGCAUUUCCAUAGCCAUUCUGAGAUAUAUUGCCAUGCAACUUUCCACCGUUCCGUUUAUUAUGACACGCUCAUCAUUGUCAUAUUGCUUUGCAUGAUCAUGUAGUUGACAUAGUAUUUGUGGCAAAGCCGCCGUUCAUAAUUAUUCAUACAUGUCACUCUUGAUUCAUUGUUAUCCUGGUAUACCGCCGGAGGCAUGCAUAUAGAGUCAUACUUUGUUCUAGUAUCGGGUUGUAAUCAUUGAGUUGUAAAUGAAUAGAAGUGUGAUGAUCAUCAUUCAUAGAGCAUUGUCCCAAUAAAAAAAAGGAGAGAAAGGCCAAAUAAAAAAGGAAGGCCCCCAAAAAAAGAGAAAAUAAAAAGGGACAAUGCUACUAUCCUUUUCCAUACUUGUGCUUCAAAGUAGCACCAUGUUCUUCAUGUUAGAGAGUCUCUUGUUUUGUCACUUUCAUAUACUAGUGGGAAUUUUUUAUUAUAGAACUUGGCUUGUAUAUUCCAACAAUGGGCUUCCUCAAAUGCUCUAGGUCUUCGUGAGCAAGCAAGUUGGAUGCACACCCACUUAGUUGCAUUUUGUUGAGCUUUCAUAUAUUUAUAGCUCUAGUGCAUCCGUUGCAUGGCAAUCCCUACUCCUUGCAUUAACAUCAAUCGAUGGGCAUCUCCAUAGCUCAUUGAUUAGCCUCGUUGAUGUGAGACUUUCUCCUUUUUUGUCUUCUCCACAUAACCCCCAUCAUUAUAUUCUAUUCCACCCAUAGUGCUAUAUCCAUGGCUCACGCUCAUGUAUUGCGUGAAGGUUCAAAAAAGUUUGAGAUUACUAAAGUAUGAAACAAUUGCUUGGCUUGUCAUCGGGGUUGUGCAUGAUCAGAGCAUUCUUGUGUGACGGAAAUGGAGCAUGACUAAACUAUAUGAUUUUGUAGGGAUGAACUUUCUUUGGCCAUGUUAUUUUGAGAGGACAUAAUUGCUUAGUUAGUAUGCUUGAAGUAUUAUUACUUUUAUGUCAAUAUUAAACCUUUAUCUUGAAUCUUUCGGAUCUGAAUAUUCAUACCACAAUUAAGAGAAUUACAUUGAAAACCAUGCCAAGUAGCAUUCCACAUCAAAAAUUCUGUUUUUAUCAUUUACCUAUUCGAGGACGAGUAGGAAUUAAGCUUGGGGAUGCUUGAUACUGUUGGGGAACGUAGUAAUUUCAAAAAAAUUCCUACGCACACGCAAGAUCAUGGUGAUGCAUAGCAACGAGAGGGGAGAGUGUUGUCCACGUACCCUCGUAGACCGACAGCGGAAGCGUUAUCACAACGCGGUUGAUGUAGUCGUACGUCUUCACGAUCCGACCGAUCAAGUACCGAACGUACGACACCUCCGAGUUCUACACACGUUCAGCUCGAUGACGUCCCUCGAACUCCGAUCCAGCCGAGUGUUGAGGGAGAGUUUCGUCAGCACGACGGCGUGGUGACGAUGAUGAUGUUCCACCGACGCAGGGCUUCGCCUAAGCUCCGCAACGGUAUUAUCGAGGUGUAAUAUGGUGGAGGGGGGCACCGCACACGGCUAAGAGAUCUCAAGGAUCAAUUGUUGUGUCUCUGGGGUGCCCCCUGCCCCCGUAUAUAAAGGAGCAAGGGAGGAGGAGGCCGGCCCUAGGAGGGGCGCACCAAGUGUGGAGUCCUACUAGGACUCCCUAGUCCUAGUAGGAUUCCACCUCCCAUAUGGAAUAGGAAAAGAGGAAGGGAAAAGGAGAAGGAAGGAAGGGGGCGCCCCCCUUCCCUAGUCCAAUUCGGACCAGACCAAGGGGAGGGGUGCGGCCACCCUUGAGGCCCUUUUCCUUCUUUCCCGUAUGGCCCAAUAAGGCCCAAUACGUAUUCCCGUAACUCUCCGGUACUCCGAAAAAUACCCGAAUCACUCGGAACCUUCCCGAAGUCCGAAUAUAGUCGUCCAAUAUAUCGAUCUUUACGUCUCGACCAUUUCGAGACUCCUCGUCAUAUCCCCGAUCUCAUCGACAAUUGUUCUCUAACUUAAAUGAAUAACCGUAUUGCAAUAAACAUGAUCAAAUCAUAUUCAUGCUCAACGCAAACACCAAAUAACACUUAUUUAGUUUCAACACUAAUCCCGAAAGUACAGGGAGUGUGCGAUGAUGAUCAUAUCAAUCUUGGAACUACUUCCAACACACAUCGUCACCUCGCCUUUUACUAGUCUCUGUUUAUUCUGCAACUCCCGUUUUCGAGUUACUACUCUUUAGCAACUGAACCAGUAUCAAUUACCGAGGGGUUGCUAUAAACACUAGUAAAGUACACAUCAAUAAUCUGUAUAUCAAAUAUACCUUUGUUCACUUUUACUAGUCUCUGUUUAUUCUGCAACUCCCGUUUCGAGUUACUACUCUUAGCAACUGAACCAGUAUCAAUUACCGAGGGGUUGCUAUAAACACUAGUAAAGUACACAUCAAUAAUCUGUAUAUCAAAUAUACCUUUGUUCACUUUGCCAUCCUUCUUAUCCACCAAAUAGUUGGGGUAGUUCCGCUUCCAGUGACCAGUCCCUUUGCAGUAGAAGCACUUAGUCUCAGGCUUAGGACCAGACUUAGGCUUCUUCACUUGAGCAGCAACUUGCUUGCCGUUCUUUUUGAAGUUCCCCUUCUUCCCUUUGCCCUUUUCUUGAAACUAGUGGUCUCAUCAACCAUCAACACUUGAAGUGGUCUCGUCAACCAUCAACACUUGAUGUUUUUCUUGAUUUCUACCUUCGUCGAUUUCAGCAUCACGAAGAGCUCGGGAAUUACUUUCGUCAUCCCUUGCAUACCAUAGUUCAUCACUAAGUUCUACUAAGAGCGAUUCUCCUCCAUCUUUUUGCUAUAGAACUUGUUGGAGAUUUCAUAUCUCUCAACUCGGGUACUUGCUUGAAAUAUUAACUUCAACUCCUGGAACAUCUCAUAUGGUCCAUGACGUUCAAAACGUCUUUGAAGUCCCGAUUCUAAGCCGUUAAACAUGGUGCACUAAACUAUCAAGUAGUCAUCAUAUUGAGCUAGCCAAACGUUCAUAACGUCUGCAUCUGCUCCUGCAAUAGGUCUGUCACCUAGCGGUGCAUCAAGGACAUAAUUUUUCUGUGCAGCAAUGAGGAUAAUCCUCGGAUCACGGAUCCAAUCCGCAUCUUUGCUACUAACAUCUUUCAACAUAAUUUUUCUCUAGGAACAUAUCAAAAAUAAACACAGGGAAGCAACAACGCGAGCUUUUGAUCUACAACAUAAUUUGCAAAAUACUAUCAGGACUAAGUUCAUGAUAAAUUUAAGUUCAAUUAAUCAUAUUACUUAAGAACUCCCACUUAGAUAGACAUCCCUCUAAUCAUCUAAGUGAUUACGUGAUCCAAAGCAACUAAACCAUGUCCGAUUAACACGUGAGAUGGAGUAGUUUCAAUGGUGAACAUCACUAUGUUGAUCAUAUCUACUAUAUGAUUCACGCUCGACCUUUCGGUCUCUGUGUUCCGAGGCCAUAUCUGUAUAUGCUAGGCUCGUCAAGUUUAACCUGAGUAUUCCGCGUGUGCAACUGUUUUGCACCCGUUGUAUUUGACCGUAGAGCCUAUCACACCCGAUUAACACGUGGUGUCUCAGCACGAAGAACUUUUGCAACGGUGCAUACUCAGGGAGAACACUUUUAUCUUGAAAUUUUAGUGAGAGAUCAUCUUAUAAUGCUACCGUCAAUCAAAGCAAGAUAAGAUGCAUAAAGGAUUAACAUCACAUGCAAUCAAUAUAAGUGAUAUGAUAUGGCCAUCAUCAUCUUGUGCUUGUGAUCUCCAUCUCCGAAGCACCGUGCUUGUGAUCUCCAUCUCCGAAGCACCGUCAUGAUCACCAUCGUCACCGGCGCGACACCUUGAUCUCCAUCGUAGCAUCGUUGUCGUCUCGCCAACUUAUUGCUUUUACGACUAUCGCUACCGCUUAGUGAUAAAGUAAAACUAUUACAUGGCGAUUGCAUCUCAUACAAUAAAGCGACAACCAUAUGGCUCCUACCAGUUGCCGAUAACUCGGUUACAAAACAUGAUCAUCUCAUACAACACAUUAUAUCACAUCAUGUCUUGACCAUAUCACAUCACAACAUGCCCUGGAAAACAAGUUAGACGUCCUCUACUUUGUUGUUGCAUAUUUUACGUGGCUGCUACGGGCUUAGCAAGAACCGUUCUUACCUACGCAUCAAAACCACAAUGAUAGUUUGUCAAGUUGGUGCUGUUUAAACCUUCGCAAGGACCGGGCGUAGCCACACUCGGUUCAACUAAAGUGAGAGAGACAGACACCCGCCGGUCACCUUUAAGCAACGAGUGCUCGCAACGGUGAAACCAGUCUCGCGUAAGCGUACGCGUAAUGUCGGUCCGGGCCGCUUCAUCUCACAAUACCGCUGAACCAAAGUAUGACAUGCUGGUAAGCAGUAUGACUUAUAUCGCCCACAACUCACUUGUGUUCUACUCGUGCAUAGCAUCAACGCAUAAAACCAGGCUCGGAUGCCACUGUUGGGGAACGUAGUAAUUUCAAAAAAUUUCCUACGCACAUGCAAGAUCAUGGUGAUGCAUAGCAACGAGAGGGGAGAGUGUUGUCCACGUACCCUCAUAGACCGACAGCGGAAGCGUUAUCACAACGCGGUUGAUGUAGUCGUACGUCUUCACGAUCCGACCGAUCAAGUACCGAACGUACGGCACCUCCGAGUUCUACACACGUUCAGCUCGAUGACGUCCCUCGAACUCCGAUCCAGCCGAGUGUUGAGGGAGAGUUUCGUCAGCACGACGGCGUGGUGACGAUGAUGAUGUUCCACCGACGCAGGGCUUCGCCUAAGCUCCGCAACGGUAUUAUCGAGGUGUAAUAUGGUGGAGGGGGGCACCGCACACGGCUAAGAGAUCUCAAGGAUCAAUUGUUGUGUCUCUGGGGUGCCCCCUGCCCCCGUAUAUAAAGGAGCAAGGGAGGAGGAGGCCGGCCCUAGGAGGGGCGCACCAAGUGUGGAGUCCUACUAGGACUCCCUAGUCCUAGUAGGAUUCCACCUCCCAUAUGGAAUAGGAAAAGAGGAAGGGAAAAAGAGAAGGAAGGAAGGGGGCGCCCCCCUUCCCUAGUCCAAUUCGGACCAGACCAAGGGGAGGGGUGCGGCCACCCUUGAGGCCCUUUUCCUUCUUUCCCGUAUGGCCCAAUAAGGCCCAAUACGUAUUCCCGUAACUCUCCGGUACUCCGAAAAAUACCCGAAUCACUCGGAACCUUUCCGAAGUCCGAAUAUAGUCGUCCAAUAUAUCGAUCUUUACGUCUCGACCAUUUCGAGGCUCCUCGUCAUAUCCCCGAUCUCAUCCGGGACUCCGAACUCCUUCGGUACAUCAAAACUCAAUAAAACUGUCAUCGUAACGUUAAGCGUGCGGACCCUACGGGUUCGAGAACUAUGUAGACAUGACCGAGACACGUCUCCGGUCAAUAACCAAUAGCGGGACCUGGAUGCCCAUAUUGGCUCCCACAUAUUCUACGAAGAUCUUUAUCGGUCAGACCGCAUAACAACAUACGUUGUUCCCUUUGUCACCGGUAUGUUACUUGCCCGAGAUUUGAUCGUCGGUAUCUCGAUACCUAGUUCAAUCUCGUUACCAGCAAGUCUCUUUACUCGUUCCGUAACACAUCAUCCCGCAACUAACUCAUUAGUCACAAUGCUUGCAAGGCUUAUAGUGAUGUGCAUUACCGAGUGGGCCCAGAGAUACCUCUCCGACAAUUGGAGUGACAAAUCCUAAUCUCGAAAUACGCCAACCCAACAAGUACCUUUGGAGACACCUGUAGAGCACCUUUAUAAUCACCCAUUUACGUUGUGACGUUUGGUAGCACACAAAGUGUUCCUCCGGUAAACGGGAGUUGCAUAAUCUCAUAGUCAUCGAAACAUGUGUAAGUCAUGAAGAAAGCAAUAGCAACAUACUAAACGAUCGAGUGCUAAGCUAAUGGAAUGGGUCAAGUCAAUCACGUCAUUCUCCUAAUGAGGUGAUCUCGUUAAUCAAAUGACAACUCAUGUCUAUGGCUAGGAAACAUAACCAUCUUUGAUUAACGAGCUAGUCAAGUAGAGGCAUACUAGUGACACUCUGUUUGUCUAUGUAUUCACACAUGUAUUAUGUUUCCGGUUAAUACAAUUCUAGCAUGAAUAAUAAACAUUUAUCAUGAUAUAAGGAAAUAUAUAAUACUUUAUUAUUGCCUCUAGGGCAUAUUUCCUUCAGUCUCCCACUUGCACUAGAGUCAAUAAUCUAGUUCACAUCGCCAUGUGAUUUAACAUCAAUAAUUCACAUCACCAUGUGAUUAACACCCAUAGUUCACAUCUCUAUAUGACCAACACUCAAAGGGUUUACUAGUGUCAAUCAUCUAGUUCACAUCGCUAUGUGAUUAAUACCCAAAGAGUACUAAGGUAUGAUCAUGUUUUGAUUGUGAGAUAAUUUUAGUCAACGGGUCUGUCACAUUCAGAUCCGUAAGUAUUUUGCAAAUUUCUAUGUCUACAAUGCUCUGCACGGAGAUACUCUAGCUAAUUGCUCCCACUUUCAAUAUGUAUCUAGACCGAGACUUAGAGUCAUCUAGAUUUAGUGUCAAAACCUGCAUCGACGUAACCCUUUACGACGAACCUUUUGUCACUUCCAUAAUCGAGAAACAUAUCCUUAUUCCACUAAGGAUAAUUUUGACCGCUGUCCAGUGAUCUACUCCUAGAUCACUAUUGUACUCCCUUGCCAAAAUCAGUGUAGGGUAUACAAUAGAUCUGGUACACAGCAUGGCAUACUUUAUAGAACCUAUGGCCGAGGCAUAGGGAUGACUUUCAUUCUCUUUCUAUCUUCUGCCGUGGUCGGGCUUUGAGUCUUACUCAAUUUCACACCUUGUAAAACAGGCAAGAACUCUUUCUUUGACUGUUCUAUUUUGAACUACUUCAAAAUCUUGUUAAGGUAUGUACUCAUUGAAAAACUUAUCAAGCGUCUUCAUCUAUCUCUAUAGAUCUUGAUGCUCAAUAUGUAAGCAGCUUCACCGAGGUCUAUCUUUGAAAAACUCCUUUCAAACACUCCUUUAUGCUUUGCAGAAUAAUUCUACAUUAUUUCUGAUUAACAAUAUGUCAUUCACAUAUACUUAUCAGAAAUGAUGUAGUGCUCCCACUCACUUUCGUGUAAAUACAGGCUUCACCGCAAGUCUGUAUACAACUAUAUCCUUUGAUCAACUUAUCAAAGUGUAUAUUCCAACUCCGAGAUGCUUGCACCAGUUCAUUGAUGGAUCGCUGGAGCUUGCAUAUUUUGUUAGCACCUUUAGGAUUGACAAAACCUUCUGGUUGCAUCAUAUACAACUCUUCUUUAAUAAAUCCAUUAAGGAAUGCAGUUUUGUUUAUCCCUUUGCCAGAUUUCAUAAAAUGCGGCAAUUGCUAACAUGAUUCAGACUAUCCUACUAACCGGAGGCCCAGCCCAGAAUUGCUGUUUUUUUGCCUAUUUCAGAGUUUCACAGAAAAAGAAUAUCAAACAGAGUCCAAACGGAAUGAAACCUUCGGGAACGUGACUUUCGGAACGAACGUGAUCCAGAGGACUUGGAGUCUACGCAAAGCAACGAACAAGGAAGGCACGAGGUAGGGGGCGUGCCUACCCCCCAGGCGCGCCCUCCACCCUCGUGGGCCCCUUGUUGCUCCACCGACGUACUUCUUCCUCCUAUAUAUACCUACGUACCCCAAACUACCAGAUACGGAGCCAAAAACCUAAUUCCACCGCCGCAACCUUCUGUACCCGUGAGAUCCCAUCUUGGUGCCUUUUCCGGAGCUCCGCCGGAGGGGGCAUUGAUCACGGAGGGCUUCUAGAUCAACACCAUAGCCUCUCCGAUGAUGUGUGAGUAGUUUACCUCAGACCUUCGGGUCCAUAGUUAUUAGCUAGAUGGCUUCUUCUCUCUUUUUGGAUCUCAAUACAAUGUUCUCCCCCUCUCUUGUGGAGAUCUAUUCGAUGUAAUCUUCUUUUUGCGGUGUGUUUGUUGAGACCGAUGAAUUGUGGGUUUAUGAUCAAGUUUAUCUAUGAACAAUAUUUGAAUCUUCUUUGAAUUCUUUUAUGUAUGAUUGGUUAUCUUUGCAAGUCUCUUCGAAUUAUCAGUUUGGUUUGGCCUACUAGAUUGAUCUUUCUUGCAAUGGGAGAAGUGCUUAGCUUUGGGUUCAAUCUUGCGGUGUCCUUUCCCAGUGACAGUAGGGGCAGCAAGGCACAUAUUGUAUUGUUGCCAUUGAGGAUAACAAGAUGGGGUUUAUAUCAUAUUGCAUGAAUUUAUCCCUCUACAUCAUGUCAUCUUACUUAAAGCGUUACUCUGUUCUUAUGAACUUAAUACUCUAGAUGCAUGCUGGAUAGCGGUCGAUGUGUGGAGUAAUAGUAGUAGAUGCAGGCAGGAGUCGGUCUACUUGUCUCGGACGUGAUGCCUAUAUACAUGAUCAUACCUAGAUAUUCUCAUAACUAUGCUCAAUUCUGUCAAUUGCUCAAUAGUAAUUUGUUCACCCACCGUGAUACUUAUGCUCUCGAGAGAAGCCUCUAGUGAAACCUAUGGCCCCCGGGUCUAUUUUCCAUCAUAUUUAAUCUCCCGACAACAAGUUAUUUCUAGUGUCGUCUUUAUUUUACUUUCUUUACUUUGCAUCUUUAUCAUAAAAAUACCAAAAAUAUUAUCUUAUCAUAUCUAUCAGAUCUCACUCUCGUAAGUGACCGUGAAGGGAUUGACAACCCCUUUAUUGCGUUGGUUGCGAUGAUUUAUUUGUUUGUGUAGGUGCAAGGGACUCGUGCGUGGCCUCCUACUGGAUCGAUACCUUGGUUCUCAAAAACUGAGGGAAAUACUUACGCUACUUUGCUGCAUCACCCUUUCCUCUUCAAGGGAAAACCAACGCAAUGCUCAAGAGGUAGCAGAAGGCUCGACCUUUAGCCUGGUGUUUUGUUCCACUCUUGCUGCCCUAGUUUCCGUCAUACCGGUGUUAUGUUCCUUGAUUUUGCGUCCCUAACACGGUGAGGGUUUAUGGGCCCCUCUUGACAGUUCGCUUUGAAUAAAACUCUUCCAGCAAGGCCCAACAUUGGUUUUACCAUUUGCUCAACAUAAUAACUAAACCUGAUAAUUAAUUAAUUAGCAUAGGGGGUCGCGUCCCCGAGGAUUCUUUUCUACAUAUAGGGGGGCCAGUGCUGAUGGUGCUGGUCCAAACUAGAGUCAUGUGCGGCUUCUCCCAGGGCAACUCGGGUCUCAGUUGCUGUACGCUGCGCUCAUCCGGACGUGGCCUGAGACGAGAUACGCGUGGCUACUUUCAGGGUGUCGGCACGCUGGGAGGUCUUGCUGGAUUAGUUUUACCAUUGUCAAAAUGUCUUGUGCACCGGGAUCCCGAGUCUGAUCGGAUGUCCCGCGAUGGAGGAUUGUCUCCACAGAUCGUGAGCUUGUCAUGGGCUAAGUUGGGACACCCCUGCAGGGUUUAAUCUUUCGAAAGCCGUGCCCGCGGUUAUGUGGCAGAUGGGAAUUUUUUAAUAUCUGGUUGUAGAGGACUUGAAGUGAACUCGAUUAAAAUACACCAACGUGUUGCAUAACCGUGAUUGUCUCUUUUCGGGGAAGUUCGAGAGGAGAACACGGUUGGGUCAUGUUUGAACGUAAGUAGUUCAGGAUCACUUAUAGAUCAUUACUAGUUUGCGACCGUUUGCGUAGAUUCUCAUCACCAUAUUUGCUUAGCCGCUUGCUGCAAGCUCACCACUUAUCCUUUCCAUACCCAUUAAGCUUUGCUAGUCUUGAUACCCAUGGUAAUGGGAUUGCUGAGUCCUCGUGGCUCACAGAUUACUACACCAACAGUUGCAGGUACAGGUUCUGCGAUGAUCAUGACGUGAGAGCGAUGUUUAUUGUGUUGGAGUUCUUGUUCCGCUUCUUCUUUGUUGAGGGAUAGGUUCCUGGUCGGCAGCCUGGGCUAGCAGGGUGGAUGUUGUUAGAGCUUUUGUUUGUGUUUCAUCCGUAGUCGGAUGUUGAUCUAUGUAUGAUGUAUUGAUGUAUUCUUGUGGCAUUGUAUGCCUUUGGUAUGUAUCCCCAUCUAUCAUGUAAUGGUUUGAUGUAAUGAUAUCCACCUUGCAAAAGCGUGUCAAUAUGCGGUUCUAUCCUUGGUGGGACCUUCGAGUCUCUUUAGGAUAGUGUCGCAUAUUGGGCGUGACAAUUUGGGUGGGCCAACUGUAGGAAGUAACUGUUGGGUUUGUGUUUCAUGGCCCAAAAAUACGUAUACACUAUAGGGACUCACAUGGGCUGGGCGGGCCGCGGCCCAUUCGGCCUUGUCGUAGCUCCGCACUUCAUCAUACCACACUCUGUGCAACUCUAACUACUGCAGUUGUCAACAAAUGUGACUAUGAAUGAGUCAACUUGUGCAUAUCUUCUCUAGCCAGCUUUCUCUAGUCAGCUUUGUAUAACCAUGCAUGCAACUUUCCAGUACAACUUCAAUAUGUGCUAAGUUCUACGUCCAACUUAGUAUGACUAUGUCCACAAUAAACAUGCUUUUAUUUCGUCGAGGAGAGUGUGGUCGCCUUGACCAUCCACCUCAAUUUCGCUGAGGAGAGAGUGCUGCGUCGACCGUGAGCUUGGAUUUUGCCGAGAAAGAGAGCCGUUGCUUCCAAUGCCGUUUGGAUUUCAGCGAAGCGAGUGUGGCCUUCAUCACCCGUGGAUGGAGGAGAGAAGAGAGGACGACCGCCGCAACAUAAAUUUUGAAUCUAAGACCCCCACGACCAAUGUCACUUGCCGACUUGUGGGCCUAUGUGCAUCGCCCCGGCCAGAUGCCACCUAGGCGCCCCAAAUGCAAUGUGGGAGAUGAUACAUCUCCAACGUAUCUAUAAUUUAUGAAGUAUUCAUGCCAUGUUUACAAUAGUUUUAUAUGAUUUUGGUAUGAUUUGAUUAGAACUAACCCGGACUGACGUUGUUUUCAGCAGAACUACCAUGGUGUUGUUUUUGUGCAGAAAUAAAAGUUCUCAGAAUGCGAUGAAAAGCAAUGGAGAAUUUUUCUGGAAAAUAUAAAAAAUACUGGAACGAAGAGUUAUCGGAGGGGAGACCCAUGGGCCCCACAAGGGUGGAGGGCGCGCCCACCCCCCUAAGGCGCGCCCCUGUGCCUCGUGGACUUCCCGUGAGGCCCCCUGACUUGUUCUCGAUGCCAACCUCUCCUAUAAAUACCCAAACCUCCAGAAAAUAACCUAGAUCGGAAGUUCCGCCACCGCAAGCCUCUGUAGCCAUGAGAAAUCAAUCUAGGCCCUCUCUGGCACCCUGCCGGAGGGGGCCAUCAUCACCGGAGGCCAUGGAGGAGGAUCCCGGAGGGGCCAUCAUCGCCAUGAAGUCCAAGAUCCAGAGGGAGAACCUCUCCCCAUCCAGGGGGGAGGCCAUGGAUGAGUAAGCACAAGGGGGAGAACCUCUCCUCCUCUCUCUCGGUGGCGUCGGAGUGCCAUUGGGAGGGGAAUCAUCGCCGCGGUGAUCUUCUUCAUCAACAUCACCAUCAUCAUCACCGUCCUCAUGUCUUUUACGCGGUCCACGCUCUCGCACCCCGCUGUAAUCCCCACUUGAACAUGGUGCUUUAUGACACAUAUUAUGAUCCAAUGAUGUGUUGCCAUCCUAUGAUGUUUUGAGUAGAUAUCCUUUGUCUUUGGGUUGAUUGAUGAUCUAGAUUGGUAUGAGUUGUAUGUUUUAUUUUGGUGCUGUCCUAUUGUGCCCUCCGUCUCGCGCAAGCGUGAGGGAUUCCCGCUGUAGGGUGUUGCAAUACGUUUAUGAUUCGCUUAUAGUGGGUUGCUUGAGUGACAGAAGCAUAAACCCGAGUAAGGGGGUUGUUGCGUAUGGGAUAAAGGGGACUUGAUAUGUUAAUGCUAUGGUUGGGUUUUACCUUAAUGAUCUUUAGUAGUUGCGGAUGCUUGCUAGAGUUCCAAUCAUAAGUGCAUAUGAUCCAAGAAGAGAAAGUAUGUUAGCUUAUGCCUCUCCCUCAUAUGAAAUUAGAAUGACGACUACCGGUCUUGUUAACGAUUGUCUAGGAUAAUUCCGCACACUGACCCAUCAUUAUUCCACACUCGCUAUUUAUAAUAUUUAGUAAUAUAUUCUAACUUUAUGAUAACAGCACCUACUUUUAUAUUUUAGCUCUCCGAUACCAUGCAAAGUUAUCCUCUUCAUACCCACAACGUAGUUUUAUUUCUCGUUACAUAGAGUCGUAUCAGUGGAAGAUAGGACUUGAGAGAAUAUUGAUCUUAGCUUUAGCUCCUUGUGGGUUCGACACUCCAGACUUAUCACUUCCACCUUUGGGAAUUUCUACGAUGAUUCCUUGCACUUGGGGAUUAUCAAGCUCUUUUCUUGCGCCGUUGCCGGGGAGCAAUAGCGUGGGGUUGAUAUUUUCGUGUAUGCUCAUUUGCUUUCUUCACUAAGUAGUUUUUGUUUUCCCUUUUUAGUUUUUCUUAGUUGUGCUGAAACAUACAAAAAAAUUCAAAAAAAUGAAAAUACAAAUUUUUUUACUUGCCUCUCAUGCCUAAAAGGUUUUUCAAUAAGAGAAGUGAUUGGAAAGUUAUGCAUUGAAGAAGUGAGGGUCAACCUUGAACACUUGUGUUCAUGCUCAUGGAAACAAUGUAAAAAAAUUCAUGGAAGUUUCUCUGAAAAUAAUUAUCCCCUUGUAUAUAUCCAUUGUAUUAUAAAAGUAAUGUGACAAGCUUUGGUUUUAGGAUGAUUAGAUUGCUUGUUUACUAUGGCAGUACAAAAACAGAAACUUUGGCUGUAGCGCGUGAAUUUACAUUUUUUACUGGAAAGUCAAAUGGGUAUGAAAUUUUUUGCACAUUACUUAUGUAAAAUGUUUUCAAAUUUUCAAUUUUUUUUAGAAUUGUUGGAGUUCCAGAAGUAUUCGUUUGAUACAGAUUACUACAGACUGUCCUGUUUUUGACAGAUUCUGUUUUCAAUGUGUUGUUCGCUUAUUUUGAUGAAUCUAUGGGUAGUAUCGGGGGGUAUGAACCAUGGUGAAGUUGGAAUACAGUAUAUAUAGUUCUAAUAUGAAAUUGGAAUGAGUUUUCAACAGUACCUAAAGGUAGUGAUUUGCUUUAUUAUACUAACAGAUCUCACAAAGUUUUUGUUAAAGUUUUGUGUGGAUGAAGUGUUCAAAGAUCGAGGAGCUAUCCAUAUGAGAAGAAUAAAGAGAGGCAAGAGUUCAAGAUUGGGGAUUCCCCAGGCACCCCAAGUAAAUAUUUCAAGGAUACUCAAGCAUCUAAGCUUGGGGAUGCCCCGGUUGGCAUCCCAUCUUUCUUCUUCAACAAUUAUCGGUAUACCUCAGUUUUUGUUUUGUUCACAUGAUUUGUGUCCUUUGUGUUUUUGUUUUUUUCCUUUAAGAACCAUGCUAGUAUGAGAUAGCCCUUCAUUGAUUUAUAGAAUGCUUCAUGUGCUUCACUUAUAUCUUUUAAGUAUGAUCUUAUAGGAUUGCUCUUUGUGCUUCACUUAUAUAUUUUGAGCUUGGAUAUUGGUUAGUCUAUAUUAAUUAAUUGUAGAAUUCUCCAUGAACUUAACUUAUAUCUUUUGGAGUAUGAAUAAUACUAUAAUCUAAAGUGGGGUUGGAAGAGUGUCAACUUUAGGAAUUAGUGAUCCCACUAUUUUGGAGGGUGUUGAAUCUUAGUGUGAUAUUUAUGGAAGUGGAUUUGGAAGAGUGUCAACUUUAGUUAGUAAUGAUUCCACUAUUUCGGAAGAGGUUCCAAUUGAUUAUGAGAACAAAGAUGCUAUCUAUGAUGAUUAUUGUGAUGACAUGUAUGCUAUAAAGAAUAAUGUUAACCAUGAAACUUGUCAUCAUGAUUUUAAUUUUCAAUUGAAUUAUGCCUCACAUGACCGUUAUUCUGUUGAGUUUGCUCCCAUUAUUCCGAAUGAGAAGCAUUUUGCUUAUGUGGAGAGUAGUAAAAUUUCUAUGCUUGUAGAUCAUGAAAAGAAUGCUUUAUGUGAUGGUUAUAUUGUUGAAAUCAUUCAUGAUGCUACUGAAAAUUGUUAUGACGGAGGAAUACAUGCUUCUAGGAGUUGCCAUAAUAUCAAGUUUCUUCUCUAUGUACUUAAAGUUUUGAAGUUAUACUUGUUUUGCCUUCCUAUGCUAGUUGAUCCUUGUUCCUAUAAAUUGUGUGCUCAGAAAAUCCCUAGGAAUAGGAAUUGGGUUAGAUUUAAAUGUGCUAGUCAUAUUCUUCAUGGUGCUCACUUUAUGUUUCAGUUCUUAUCUUUUAUGUGAGCAUCAUUGAAAUCAUCAUGCCUAGCUAAAAGGCAUUAAAGAAAAGCGCUUGUUGGGAGACAACCCAAUAUUUACCCUUACUGUUUUUGUGUGUUUACAUGAUUAAGCUACUGUAGUAAUCAUGUUUUAUAGCUUUUGUUUCAAUAAAGUGCCAAGUAAGACCUUUGGGAAGACUUGGGUGAAAGUUAAUGUAAUCUUGCUGUAAAAAAUAGAAAAUUUGCGCUCACAAGAUUAGCUGUCAUUUUUUACAGAAGAGAUUUUGAGUUGAUUCUUUUUGCAGAAGAUUAAUAGACAAAUUCCUCACGUCCAACAAUUUAUUUCAUAAUUUUUGGAGUAUCAUAAGUAUGGUUUCUGUUCAGAUCAUUACAGACUGUUCUGUUUCUGACAGAUUCUGUUUUCAUUGCAUAGUUUGCUUGUUUUCUAGUUUCUAUGGCUUAUAUUUCUCAAUAUAAAUUGUAUAAAUGAUAUGGUACAAUAGGCAUUGUGUGAGAACAAUUAUGAACCUUGUCUUUGACAAUACCAAAGUGAAUGGUUUACUCUUUAUCAUACUAACCUAUCUCACAAAGUUCCGUUAAGUUUUGUGUGAUUGAAGUUUUCAAGCUUUGGGUGAGAUAUCGAUAUGAGGAGAAUAAGGAGUGGAAAGACCCUAAGCUUGGGGAUGCCCAAGGCACCCCAAGGUAAUAUUCAAGGAAGACUCAAGCGCCUAAGCUUGGGGAUGCCCCGGAAGGCAUCCCCUCUUUCGUCUUCAGAACUAUCAGUAUACCUUACUCGGAGCUAUAUUUCUAUUCGUCACAUGAUAUGUGUUUUGCUUGGAGCGUAUUUUCAAUUUUAUUUGUUUUUUGAAUAAAAUCAUUGGAUCUGAAAUCUUGAAUGAAAAAGAAUCCUCCCAUGGCUAGUUAAUUAUUUGACUACUCAGUGUUCUUCACUUAUAUCUUUUGGAGUAGUUUGCCAUUUACUCACGCGCUUUACGUAUAUCCUAUGAGUAAAUGGUUGAAUGAAUUGAAUAUCAUAAAUCUGAAUUUAUAUACAUUUCAUAUGCUUAUAACAUGGGGAGUAAUGACUUCACACAUAAUAAGUAUAGGUAGUAAACUUAUUGAAAGUUAGCAAACGCAGAAUUGGUCACUUGAACAAUCCAUGAAAGAAUAUUGAAGGAAGAGAGAUUUCACAUAUAAAUAUACUAUGUUGGAUAUCUUUUGUAAUUGUGAGCACUAUUAAAAUAUGACAUGCUAAAAGGUUGAUGUUGGACAAGGAAGACAACUUAAUGGGUUAUGUUUUCCUAUAUGCCUUUCCCUCUCAUGCUAGCCAAAUUCUUUGCACCAAGUAGAAUUGUGCUUCCAAACAUCCCUUAAACCAGUUCUGCCAUGAGAGUCCACCAUACCUACCUAUGGAUUGAAUAAGAUCCUUCAAGUAAGUUGUCAUCGGUGCAUGCAAUAAAAAUUGCUCUCUAAAUAUGUAUGAUCUAUUAGUGCGAAGAAAAUAAGCUUUAUACGAACUUGUGAUAGGGAAGAAAUAAAAGCGACGGACUGCAUAAUAAAGGUCUUUAUCACAAGCGGCAAUAUAAAGUGACAUUCUUUUGCCUUAAGUUUUUGUGCAUCCAACCAUAAAAGUGCAUGACAACCUCUGCUUCCCUCUGCGAAGGGCCUAUCUUUUACUUUUAUCUUCUACCCUUAUACAAGAGUCAUGGUGAUCAUCACCUUUCCUUUUUACACUUUUUCCUUUGGCAAGCACUUUGUGUUGGAGCGAUCCGGAUAUAUAUAUCCACUUGGAUGUAGGUUUUCAUAAAUUAUUAUUCUGGACAUUACCCUUGAGGUAAAAGGUUGGGAGGCGAAACUAUAAGCCCCUAUCUUUCUCUGUGUCCGAUUAAAACUUUGAACCCAUAAAUAUCACAUGAGUGUUAGCAAUUGUGAAAGAUUAAAUGAUAGUUGAGUAUGUGGAAUUUGCUGAAUCAAAGCUCUUACAUAGACCCUUCCCGAAAAUAAGAUGAAUUGCAAUUGUUUGAUGACUAAGAGCACGGUUUGUUAGUUUUCAAGAAAGUUUAUGAUCUAUACUUUAACAUGUGAAUAGCUUGUUACUUGAUCAUGAGAAGUUUUAUGAGUUGAGCUACUGUUAUGAUAUAUAAUUAUGCUAGAAAAAGUUAUUGGAACUAUCAUUGAUCAAACUUAUGCACUUGCUAGCAUCACACUUCAUAAAUUAUUUCUUUUAUCAUUUACCUACUCGAGGACGAGCAGUAAUUAAGCUUGGGGAUGCUGAUACGUCUCAAACGUAUCUAUAAUUUAUGAAGUAUUCAUGCCAUGUUUACAAUAGUUUUAUAUGAUUUUGAUAUGAUUUGAUUAGAACUAACCCGGACUGUCGUUGUUUUCAGCAGAACUACCAUGGUGUUGUUUUUGUGCAGAAAUAAAAAUUCUCGGAAUGCGAUGAAAUCAACGGAGAAUUUUUCUAGAAAAUAUAAAAAAAUACUGGAACGAAGAGUUAUCGGAGGGGUGGCCCGUGGGCCCCACGAUGGUGGAGGGCGCGCCCCUGUGCCUCGUGGACUUCCCGUGGGGCCCCCUGACUUGUUCUCGACGCCAACCUCUCCUAUAAAUACCCAAACCUCCAGAAAAUAACCUAGAUCGGAAGUUCCGCCGCCGCAAGCCUCUGUAGCCACGAGAAAUCAAUCUAGGCCCUCUCUGGCACCCUGCCGGAGGGGGCCAUCAUCACCGGAGGCCAUGGAGGAGGACCCGGAGGGGCCAUCAUCGCCAUGAAGGCCAAGAUCUAGAGGGAGAACCUCUCCCCAUCCAGGGGGGAGGCCAUGGAGGAGGAAGCACAAGGGGGAGAACCUCUCCUCCUUUCUGUUGGUGGCGCCGGAGUGCCAUCGGGAGGGGAAUCAUCGCCGCGGUGAUUGUCUUCAUCAACAUCACCAUCAUCAUCACCAUCCUCAUGUCUUUUACGCGGUCCACUCUCCCGCACCCCGCUGUAAUCCCUACUUGAACAUGGUGCUUUAUGCCACAUAUUAUGAUCCAAUGAUGUGUUGCCAUCCUAUGAUGUUUUGAGUAGAUAUCCUUUGUCUUUGGGUUGAUUGAUGAUCUAGAUUGGUAUGAGUUGUAUGUUUUAUUUUGGUGCUGUCCUAUUGUGCCCUCUGUGUCGUGCAAGCGUGAGGAAUUCCCUCUGUAGGGUGUUGCAAUACGUUCAUGAUUCGCUUAUAGUGGGUUGCUUGAGUAACAGAAGCAUAAACCCGAGUAAGGGGGUUGUUGCGUAUGGGAUAAAGGGGACAUGAUAUGUUAAUUCUAUGGUUGGGUUUUACCUUAAUGAUCUUUAGUAGUUGCGGAUGCUUGCUAGAGUUCCAAUCAUAAGUGCAUAUGAUCCAUGAAGAGAAAGUAUGUUAGCUUAUGCCUCUCCCUCAUAUGAAAUUGCAAUGACGACUACCGGUCUUGUUAACGAUUGCCUAGGAUAAUUCCGCACACCGACCCAUCAUUAUUCCACACUCGUUUUUUUAUAAUAUUUAGUAAUAUAUUCUAACUUUAUGAUAACAACACCUACUUUUAUAUUUUAGCUCUCCGAUACCAUGCAAAGUUAUCCUCUUCAUACCCACAACGUAGUUUUAUUUCUCGUUUCUAGUUGGAAGCAAACGUUCGGUGUACGUAGAGUCGUAUCAGUGGCAGAUAGGACUUAGAGAAUAUUGAUCUUACCUUUAGCUCCUUGUGGGUUCGACACUCCAUACUUAUCACUUCCACCUUUGGGAAUUGCUACGAUGAUUCCCUGCACUUGGGGAUUAUCAGGAGAUUGUGCGGCCAGGAGACCAUGCGCUUGGCACGCUUGAAAUGUGUCGUUACACAAAUUAGAAUUUGAAAAAAAUACACGGGUUUUGUUUGUGACGUUGAUGAUCGGAUGCUAAGGGAGGUGGACUCUAUCACGUUGAUGAUGUAAAAUUUCAUAGUUGAAAUUGGACUAUAUAUUAAAGAUGGGAAAUGAUUGGGAUCACCUGGCGGAUAACCACGUGUGCGUCCAUCGUCUCCAUGGCCGUUAGAUCGGAUUUUAGUCAGAUGACUAGAAGCAACGUGUUACGUAUACCAGGUUGUUUACGUUGUGUUGCUAAUUCUCCUACUGGUUCGAUAACCUUGGUUUCACAUGUGAGGGAAAUACCUACCGCUGUUGUGCUGCAUCAUCCCUUCCUCUUUGGGGAAAUACCGACGUAGCUUCAAGCCGCAUCAAAAGGAAUUUCCAGCGCCGUUGCCGGGGAGGAUCUUCAACAUAUACCAGGUUCCUAAUCACAAAUCUCAUCUCCUCUCAAUUUACAUUAUUUGCCAUUUGCCUCUCAUUUUCCUCUCCCCCAUUUCAAAAAAAUUUGCCGUUUUAUUCGCCCCUCUUUUUGGUUAGCUAUUUUCUCGUCAGAUCUCUCCUUUGCUUGCAAUCAUGAGUAAUUUCGGUAUGGCACCAACAGAUGAUGGCCUUACUCCUAAGAUUGGACGUACGGGCAAUCUGGGUGCUAAAACUUUUAUCUUGGGACAAGGGAAUGUUAUGGGAAAAGAACGUAUUCAAGAAUUUUUCAAUUGUGUUGGGAAUUUGACUCUUGAUGAUGCUCCUAUAGUUAAUACUACUAGAUCUUAUGCGGAUGCUAUUUCAGCACUAGUUCUGAAACUUGAAAGCAAAUUUAUCCGUACUCAUCCUACUUUGCAAAGAUUGUUUUCUGAGCUACCGUUAUAAAGAUCCUAAGGCCACUCUCAUUCUUAUGAAUGAGUUUGACUACAUAAUACGGGAAGCUAGGGAAAUCUUUGAUUUUUAUGGUAUGAAUCAUGAAAAACCCGUGAUAGAUGAAAUCCUUUACAAUAGUGAUUAUGCGCUAAGGCAUUUGCUUGGGGAUAAUAAAAUCUUUGAUGAGAAUCUUAAAAAGGAAGUCCCCGUUCUAGAUAUAAUCCAACAAGUUUUCAAUAAUGUUAAUCAACAUCACUCUUGGAUUGUUGCGGGAAAUCAAAGGGGUUAUGAUGAAAACCAACUUAGGAAUGCUAAGGUUUCGAUGGGUAACAUGUUUUAUGUUGUGUUUACAAAACCCCAUGACGAAACCACUUCUAAAAAAUUUAAGAAGGAGGGUGACAAAACUUAGAUCCUUGCUUUAUGCCUAGCUAAGGAUAUAAAACUAUAGCACUUGUUGGGAGGCAACCCAAUGAAUAAAAUUUAUUUUUGCUUUUUGCUUUCUGUUCUUGAGUUUUUACACAAUUAUGCUACUGUUAUGAUUGUGUUUUUUGUGUUUUAAUUAGUGUUUGUGCCAAGUAAAGCCUUUAGGAUCUUCUUGGGUGAUAGUUGUUUGAUCUUGCUGAAAAAACAGAAACUUUUGCUCUCACGAAAACAAUUCUCAUUGUUUACCAGAGCAUGCUAAAAUGACAAUUCUUUUUUUAGUAGAUUAAUAUACAAAUUUCUCAUGUCGUCCUAAUUUUUCAGAAUUUUUGGAGUUCCAGAAGUUUUUGAAAUAGUCAGAUUGCUACAGACUAUUCUGUUUUGACAGAUUCUGUUUUCUUUGCGUUGUGUGCUCGUUUUGAUGGCUCUAUGGUUUUCUUUGAUGAGUUUUUGCCAUAGAAAAGUUGGAAUACAGUAGAUAUAAUGCAAAAACAAAAUAUGAAUUGUUUUGGUACAAUACUUAUAGUAGUGAUUUGCUUUCGAUUACUAACGGAUCUAACGAAGGUUUUGUUGAGUUUUGUGUGAUUGAAGUUUUCAAGUUUUGGGUUAUCUUACGAUGGAUGAAGGAGUAAGGAGUAAGAAGAUAAGAUUGGGGAUGCCCCGGCAUCCAAGCUAUUAUCCAAAAGAGAGCAAGCAACUAAGCUUGGGGAUGCCCCGAGUGGCAUCCCCUCUUUCUUCUAGCAACCAUCGGUAUUUUACUCGAAGCUAUAUUUUUAUUCAUCACAUACUAUGUGUUUUGCUUGGAGCGUCUUGUAUGUUAUGAGUCUUUGCUUGUUUUACUUUGUGUUUUAAGUCUUGAUUCCUUGCUGGACACACCUAUUUGAGCGAGCCAAAAUUAUGUCAUGACUUGUUAGAAUAUCUCUCUAUGCUUCACUUAAAUUUUUAUGAGCUAUGGACUUGCUCUAGUGCUUCACUUAUAUCUUUUUGAUCAUGGUGUGCUUUAGUAUUUUUGAAGAAAUGCUCUCUUACUUCACUUAGAUUUAUUUUAGAGUUAGUAAAAUUUUCAAGAAAUUCUCUCUUGCUUCACUUAAAUUAAUUGAGAGGAAGAAAAAUUAUGCUCAUGAUCUUCACUUAUAUUUGUUUGAGCUUGUCAAAAGCAACAUAUGAAAAUUAGUUCCAAAGUGAUAGAUAUCCAAGAAGGAUAUAAUAAAAACUUUCAUGAAGAUCAUUGGACAAAAUAAACUUGAUUCUUAGUAAUAGUUUUGAGAUAUGAUGAUGUGAUAUGUGAGUCAUGUUGAUGAGUAAUUAUGCUUUAGUAAGAAUAUUGAUGUUAAGGUUUGUGAUUCCCUAUGCAAGCACGAAAGUCAAUAAUUAUGCAAUAAAAUUAUAUCUUACUUGUGGUACAUUAUUCGGUGUUAAUUAUGCUUAAUGCUCGCUUAUGAGAUUAUUCGUUUCUUGGUUGGUCGCUUCUCAAUCUUUUGCUAGCCUUCAUUUUGCACUAAGUAUGAUCUCUACUUGUGCAUCCAAAAACCUUUAAACCAGUUUUGCCACAUGAGUCCACUAUACCUACCUAUAUGCGGUAUUCUUUUGCCGUUCUAAGUAAAUUUGCAUGUGCCAUCUCUAAUUUUCAAAAUAAACUUCUCUUUUGUGUGUUCGUUUCGCUCGCGGAGUGGUGAGGGGUGGCUAAUAUUUUCCAUGCUAGAUGUGUUAUUCUCACGAUGAGUGUUUAUUCACUUGUCCUUGCACGAGAGUAAGGCAAAUGUAUUAGGGAUGCCCAGUCCCGAAAUGAAAAAUAAAUUUACUUUAUGUUGUCAAAUAAUAAAUUCCUUGGAAAGUGUUGGUAUGGAAGGCAACCGUGGAUACGGCUAGCCAUGGAAAGAGGAAGUAUGGUUGAAAAAGGAAUAAACUUUAUUUUCUGUUUGGGAACCGACUAUGAUAUAUCUAGCAUGGAAAGUGUUGGGAACUCUAAUCGUUUUCAUUGGUGGGAAGGACACACCUCUCAAAAUGUUUUUAUCUCUAAAUUUUCGCUUUGAGCUCUGGCACCUCUGCAAAUCCCUACUUCCCUCUACGAAGGGCCUUUCUUUUACUUUAUGCAAUUUUUAUUUUUGAAUUUGUGUCUCCAUCUUCUCUUAUAAAAGCACCAACUAGGAGGCAAUAUGAUCGUACUUGAGUAUUGGGUGUAGCUAAUAUGCGAGUGUGUUUCAUGAAUGGAUCAAUGAUUGAGCAUGAUGGGCUAGGGAUAACUUAUUUUAGCGUUGAUAUUUUGAAAGACAUGGUUGCUUGUCGAUAUGCUUGAGUAUUUAAGUUAUCAUGUCAAAACUAGACUAUUGCUUUGAACAAUAUAAAAGUCCAAAUGUCCAUGCUAUAAAGAAAAGAAAUAUGAUAUGACAUGAUAGGCAGCAUUCCACAUCAAAAAUUCUAUUUUUACCACUUACCUACUCGAGGACGAGUAGGAGUUAAGCUUGGGGAUGCUGAUACGUCUCCAACGUAUCUAUAAUUUUUGAUUGUUCCAUGUUGUUAUAUUAUCAAUAUUGGAUGUUUUAUAAUCAUUUUAUCGUUAUUUUAUAUCAUUUUUUGGUACUAACCUAUUGACAUAGUGCCAAGUGGCAGUUGCUGUUUUCUGCUUUUUUUUGCAUCGCAGGAAAUCAAUACCAAACGGAGUCCAAAUGCAACGAAACUUUACGGAGAUUUUUUAUGGACCAUAAGACACAUAAUGGGCCCUGGCUGCGCCUGGGGGGUGCUCCGAGGAGAGCACAACCCACCAGGGUGCGCCAAGAGGCCCAGGCGCGCCCUGGUGGGUUGUGCCCACCUCGGGUGCCCCCUGGACCGCCUCUUUGCUCUAUAAAUACCCCAAUAUUCCAGAAACCCUAGGGGAGUCGACGAAAAUCAAUUCCAGCCGCCGCAGAGUCCAGAACCACCAGAUCCAAUCUAGACACCAUCUCGGAUGGGGUUCACCACCUCCAUUGGUGCCCCUCCGAUGAUGCGUGAGUAGUUCUUUGUAGACCUUCGGGUUCGUAGUUAGUAGCUAGAUGGCUUCCUCUCUCUCGCUGAAUUCUCAAUACAAUGGUCUCUUGGAGAUCCAUAUGAUGUAACUCUUUUUGCGGUGUGUUUGUCGGGAUCAAUGAACUUUGAGUUUAUGAUCAGAUCUAUCUUUUUAUAUCCAAGAAAAUAUUUGAGUUUCUUUGAUCUCUUUUAUGCAUGAUUGCUUAAAGCCUCGUAUUUCUUCUCCGAUAUUUGGGUUUUGUUUGGCCAACUUGAUCUAUUUAUCUUGCAAUGGGAAGAGGUGCUUUGUAGUGGGUUCGAUCUUACGGUGCUUGAUCCUAGUGGUAGAAAGGGAACCGACACGUAUGUAUCGUUGCUACUAAGGAUAAAACGAUGGGGACUAUCUCUACAUAGAUAGAUCUUGUCUACAUCAUGUCAUCGUUCUUAUUUCAUUACUCCGUUUCUCCAUGAACUUAAUACACUAGAUGCAUGCUGGAUAGCGGUCGAUGUGUGGAGUAAUAGUAGUAGAUGCAGGAAAGAGUCGGUCUACUAAUCAUGGACGUGAUGCCUAUGUAAUGAUCAUUGCCUGGAUAUCGUCAUGAUUAUUUGAAGUUCUAUCAAUUGCCCAACAGUAAUUUGUUCACCCACCGUUUGCUAUUUUUCUCGAGAGAAGCCACUAGUGAAACCUACGACCCUGGGUCUCUUUCUCAUAUUAUUUGCCUUUGCUUUUAUUUUCAGAUCUAUUAAACCAAAAAUACCUUGCUGCAAUUUAUUCUUAUUUAUUUUAUUUGGCGUUCGAUCUAUCAAUCUACUACAAUUUUAUUCAGGUCCGUUUGCCCAUCUUGGGGUGCCGCUACCCGAAAUGGAUUGACAACCCCUUUUACACGUCGGGUUGCGAGAAGUUGUUAUUUGUGUGCAGGUGUUGUCUAUGUUGUGUUGCUUGAUUCUCCUACUGGUUCGAUAACCUUGGUUUCACAUCUGAGGGAAAUACCUACCGCUGUUGUGCUGCAUCAUCCCUUCCUCUUUGGCGAAAUACCGACGUAGCUUCAAGCCGCAUCAAACUCCUACUACUAUUCCAAACAAAUACAACAAAAAAUUGGGCCAUCAUACCAGUGGCGGAGCUUGGACCAAAUAGUUGGGUGGGCCAACUGUAGGAAGUAACUGUUGGGUUUGUGUUUCAUGGCCCAAAAAUACGUAUACACUAUAGGGAAUCACAUGGGCUGGGUGGGCCGCGGCCCAUUCGGCCUUUUCAUAGCUCCACACUUCAUCAUACCACUCUCUGUGCAACUCUAACUACUUCAGUUGUCAACAAAUGUGACUAUGAAUGAGUCAACUUGUGCAUAUCUUCUCUAGCCAGCUUUCUCUAAUCAGCUUUGUAUAACCAUGCGUGCAACUUUCCAGUACAACUUCAAUAUGUGCUAAGUUCUAUGACCAACUUAGUAUGACUAUGUCCACAAUAAACAUGCUUGUAUUUCGUCGAGGAGAGUGUGGUCGCCUUGACCAUCCACUUCAAUUUCGCUGAGGAGAGAGUGCUGCCUCGACCGUGAGCUUGGAUUUUGCCGAGAAAGAGAGUGGUUGCUUCCAAUGCCGUUUGGAUUUCAGCGAAGCGAGUGUGGCCUUCAUCACCUGUGGAUGGAGGAGAGAAGAGAGGACGACCACCGCGACAUAAAUUUUGAAUCUAAGACCCCCACGACCAAUGUCACUUGCCGACUUGUGGGCCUAUGUGCGUCGACCCAGCCAGAUGCCACCUGGGCGCCCCAAAUGCAAUGUGGGAGAUUGUGCGGCCAGGAGACCAUGCUCUUGGCACGCUUGAAAUGUGUCGUUACACGAAUUAGCAUUUGAAACAAAUACACGGGUUUUGUUUGUCACGUUGAUGAUGGGAUGCUAAGGGAGGUGGACUCUAUCACGUUGAUGAUGUAAAAUUUGCAUAGUUGAAACUGGACUAUAUAUUAAAGAUGGGAAAUGAUUGGGAUCACCCGGCGGAUAACCACGUGUGUGCGUCCACCGUCUCCGUGGCCGUUAGAUCGGAUUUUAAUCAGAUGACUAGAAAAAACGUGUUACGUAUACUAGUUUUUUGCAACUGAGUGGUUGUUCCAAUCUCCCCCACCGCAACAACUGGUGUGUUGCGGGAUUUGGAUCUGGAUCCCCACUGGAGCAGACACCACUCGUGUUCCUCCCAAGCUCCCCGUCAAGCUGACUCCUCGCGUUGCUUCGACUGCCACCGACGACGCUCUCCACCAGCAGCACGCCGACGAGGUCGCCGGUGUGGGCACCGCCGCUGCCGCCCACCUUCACCAUGAACGUCGGCCGUCGUGGUGCACCCGAACUCAAGCUGCAUCCCGCCGUCCCGGGGGAGCACCGGCGUCCGUGUCCACAACGGGGAGUUGUGUCCACCGUUGCCCUGCAUCCUGAGGGCGCACCGGCCUUUCUUUCGGUUGAUGUGGUCGCUGCUCGCUAUCUACUACAGCGAGUUUCUGCAACAAGGUCUCUGUUUCAGAAGAAAACCUUAGCAGACCUCUGCUGAAGAAAAUUAAAUUCCAACAAGACCUCUAUCGGAGAAAAUUGAAAUUGCAACAAGACCUCUAUUGCAAAAAAAAGCUACAACAAGACAUCUGUUGCAAAAAUAAUUUGCAGCUUGAUCUAUGUUACAAAAAUUUCCGAAACAUAACCCAUGUUACGGAAAAUUUCUGCAGCACGACAGGUGUUGCAAUGGUAGAAAGUGACCCCCAGUCGUUCAAUCCGCCAAUCAGACGGCUUGCAAGGCGGCGGAUGUUUUAAAAUGAUCUGCCGGCCGAUGCGUAGAAGCGCCCGUAUUAUAUUCACAACCAAAGUGUUUCUAUGCCCAUCUUUAAUGGCAAAUGCUCAACUUCAGCCGGAUGAUUUCUCGAAAGAAAUCUGCUGCAUCGCCUGGGUGGCAGGCGUUCUGGUGUGGACCACACAUUGGUCGAGAGCCGCUCGUUUCCAACCUUAUCACUCCGCUCUGUCUCCUACCCUGCUCUUUCACCUACAUCUCCUCUCAAUUGCCAAGUUCUUCGCUCCUACUCAGGGCGUACCUCGAUUGGCGCUGCUGACGGGGAUAUGAGGGGCCCCUAUGUGCUUCAGGGGCCGCCCGCGUUGCUGGGAUGGAGGCGUUGGGAACGGGGUAAGCGCCCUGCGUGUCACUGUAGCCCAUGUGUUUCAUCGGUCCAUCCUCUGAUACAUCAGGCGAGCCGCUUACUAGGAUUGUAACAUAAGUGGUGUUUCAGUGUUGCGGAAACAUAGCUACUUCAAAAACAUCCCUCGUGCUUCAACAACAACAGCGAAGCUACAAGACAGAGGUAACCACUAUGGCGGGAUGUUUCUGAAACAUGGCCUAUGUUGUAGAAGUCCAUGAGAGUACGAAAAAAAUCUGCAACACAAUCUUUCUUGCAAAUAUUUUUGCAACAUGAACUCUGUUGCAAAGAUCGCAACACAAUUGCUGUUGCAAAUGUGUCUGCAACACGGGCUUUGUUGCAAAGCUUCUGCAAGAUGGCACCAGAUGUAACAACCGCAGAGCCGGCGGAUCUUUUAAAAAGAUCCACCAGCCAACGCGUAGAAUGCCCCCUUUUAGGGAAAUGCGAAGGUAUUUCUUAAAAGAAAUUAGGAAAACGCUAACAAUCAGCCGACGGAUUACUCGGUUGCAUCCACCUUCUGCUCCAGUUGCCACGUGUCUUUCUGGGCACACACUCAAUCUAUCCCUCUAGAACCAGAAGCAUCAUGUGUUUGCUGAUGUGAAGUGUUUUGGAACAAGUGUUGUGUUGCAAUGAGAUUCUGCAAAAGGACCUAUGUUGCAAAAAGAUUCUGUAAAAAAAUGUUCAAAAAAAAUCCGCAACAAGACCUAUGUUGCAAAAAAACUGCAGCAGAACCUCUGUUGCAAAAGUUUCUGCAACAUGACCUCAGUUGCAGAACCUCUAUUGUAGACAGUUUCUGCAAGAUGACCUCUGUUGCAUUCUGUUUUGCAACACAGUGGUUGUUGUAACUGUAAGGACGAGGUUGGGCUCUUGGUUGGCGCAAGAUUUAAUGACUGCCGAGGCGGUGGAUCUUUUGGAAAGAAAUUACAAAGAAAAUAAAUGAAAGAAGUUGUGCAAAUGAGGACGUGAUGGCACACUCACAAUUGGGUGAUGAUGACCUUCAGAUCAUACCCGACAUGCCUGUGAGUGCCCUCGCGGUCGAACCCAACAACCUUGCACAUGUCCUCCCUUAGAAACCACUCAAACAUGGCGAUGAUGCGGUCCACCGAGCGUGGCUUGUUGGUGUACACCACCGUGAGGUCGCUGAUGUUGUGGGACCUCACGGUGAACUACACGUAAAUGGUGCCUUUACGAAUAUUUCAACUUGUGUUGAUUUUCUUGCCAACUUAGUAUGGUUGUGUGUGCAACUUUAUAGUACUACAUGGUGGAGAAUGAGAACAGAGGGGCGUGCAAUACCACCACCUCGCUGACAUGGCUCAAAGGCAAAAAAAA